UACGUAGGGGGCAAGCGUUGUCCGGAAUCACUGGGCGUAAAGCGCGCGUAGGCGGACCUGCAAGUCGGGGGUGAAAGCCCGAGGCUCAACCUCGGAACUGCCUUCGAUACUGCGGGUCUCGAGUCCGGGAGAGGUGAGUGGAAUUCCUAGUGUAGAGGUGAAAUUCGUAGAUAUUAGGAAGAACACCAGUGGCGAAGGCGGCUCACUGGCCCGGUACUGACGCUGAGGCGCGAAAGCGUGGGGAGCAAACAGG
Molecule: ribosomal RNA, 253 nt
Filed under: uncultured bacterium
Lineage: Bacteria
Description: partial 16S ribosomal RNA
Rfam family: Bacterial small subunit ribosomal RNA
Source: RNAcentral